RNAcentral lists this long non-coding RNA (320 nucleotides) under Vigna radiata. RNAcentral's name for it is "long non-coding RNA (VRAD_LNC016422)". Lineage: Eukaryota; Viridiplantae; Streptophyta; Magnoliopsida; Fabales; Fabaceae. The record is from RNAcentral.
AAGUCUAACACGAAAAUGGGGGGUUUUGAAAAGUGUUUUUGUGAAUACGAAUAACUAAAUUAAAAUGAAUGGACAUUAAACUAAACUGUGUAAGUUAGAAAACAUCAAGGUAAAAUAAAGUGCUAAACCCAACAUUUCAACAAACAAUUAUCUAAACACAAUUAAAACUAUUAAAAGGAAACACUAAAUUAGAGGAAUCAAAUGCAACUAAUCCUUGCAAAUGAAUGCAAAACAAAGGGAUAAUUAAACAUGCUUUUUCAUCUAUCAAUUAUGUGGCCAAUAUUCAUCUACCAAAUGAAAUUAAAAGUGUAAUUAGCUUG